RNAcentral lists this ribosomal RNA (506 nucleotides) under Labiobaetis longicercus. RNAcentral's name for it is "partial 16S ribosomal RNA". It matches the Rfam family "Bacterial large subunit ribosomal RNA", at positions 1827 to 2606 of the family's 2925-position model. The record is from RNAcentral. Lineage: Eukaryota; Metazoa; Arthropoda; Insecta; Ephemeroptera; Baetidae.
CAUCGCCUGUAGCUACUUUUAUAGGUACGGCCUGCCCAAUGAUGAUUUUAAUGGCCGCAGUAUUUUGACUGUGCAAAGGUAGCAUAAUCAUUUGUCUCUUAAUUAGAGGCUGGUAUGAAUGGCUAAACGUAGAAAAGCUGUGUCACAAAAUUUACUGAACUUAAUCUUUAAGUUAAAAAGCUUAAAUUUUAUAGCAGGACGAGAAGACCCCAUAGAUCUUUAUAUUGAAAACUUUACAGACAUUAGUCGCUGCUACUAUAAAGUUAAUAAAUAUUUGGUUGGGGUGACGUGAAGUAAUAAACACUUCGUUAUAAAACUUUAAUAGUAGGUCAAAUGAUCCGGGUUACCGAUUAAAAAAUUAAGUUACCUUGGGGAUAACAGCGUAAUCUGCCUUUAGAGUCCUUAUCAAACGGCAGGGUUGCGACCUCGAUGUUGGAUUAAGAUUCUCUCCACGAGCAGCCCCGUGGUAGAGGGGUCUGUUCGACCUUUAAAUUCUUACAUGAUCU